Molecule: ribosomal RNA, 327 nt
Filed under: uncultured bacterium
Lineage: Bacteria
Also listed under: 1 other name
Description: bacterial SSU rRNA
Rfam family: Bacterial small subunit ribosomal RNA
Source: RNAcentral
GUCGUCAGCUCGUGUCGUGAGAUGUUGGGUUAAGUCCCGCAACGAGCGCAACCCUUAAUCUUAGUUGCCAUCAUUAAGUUGGGCACUCUAAGGUGACUGCCGGUGACAAACCGGAGGAAGGUGGGGAUGACGUCAAAUCAUCAUGCCCCUUAUGACCUGGGCUACACACGUGCUACAAUGGACGGUACAAAGAGCUGCAAGACCGCGAGGUGGAGCUAAUCUCAUAAAACCGUUCUCAGUUCGGAUUGUAGGCUGCAACUCGCCUACAUGAAGCUGGAAUCGCUAGUAAUCGCGGAUCAGCAUGCCGCGGUGAAUACGUUCCCGGGA